Molecule: non-coding RNA, 73 nt
Organism: Stegodyphus mimosarum
Lineage: Eukaryota; Metazoa; Arthropoda; Arachnida; Araneae; Eresidae
Source: Rfam
GCCUUCGUCGUAUAGUGGUCAGCACGCUCGACGCGUAACCGAGAGGUCCGUGGUUCGAUUCCCGGCGAAGGCU